RNAcentral lists this ribosomal RNA (253 nucleotides) under uncultured bacterium. RNAcentral describes it as "partial 16S ribosomal RNA". It matches the Rfam family "Bacterial small subunit ribosomal RNA", at positions 524 to 776 of the family's 1533-position model. The record is from RNAcentral.
UACGUAGGGGGCAAGCGUUAUCCGGAUUUACUGGGUGUAAAGGGAGCGUAGACGGCUGUGCAAGUCUGAAGUGAAAGCCCGUGGCUCAACCGCGGAACUGCUUUGGAAACUGUAUAGCUUGAGUACUGGAGAGGCAGGCGGAACUCCUAGUGUAGCGGUGAAAUGCGUAGAUAUUAGGAGGAACACCAGUGGCGAAGGCGGCCUGCUGGACAGAAACUGACGUUGUGGCUCGAAAGCGUGGGGAGCAAACAGG